UUCACACAACCCAUGUAAUACAUAAGGGAAGAGAUACAUAGUUGGCUUACAAUCGCCACUUCACACAAUUACAUGAGUAAAGCAUUACAUCAUCCAGAUACAAUCAAGGUCCGAUUACGGAACCAAAAUAAAAGAAGAACCCCAAAUGCGACAAAGGUCCCCGAUCGACCCCAACUGGGCUCCACUACUGAUCAACUAGAACGAAACAACACAAAGGGCAAGAUCUUCAUCGAGCUCCUCCUUGAGCUUGGUUGCGUCACCUGCUCGGUAACAUAGGCACCUGCAAACUGGUUUUGGAAGUAUCUGUGAGCCACGGGGACUCAGCAAUCUCGCACCCGCGAGAUCAAGACUAUUUAAGCUUAUAGGAAGGAUGGAGUAAUGAGGUGGAGCUUUAGCAAGCGACUAGCAUAUAUGGUGGCUACAAUUGCAAAAGAGAGCGAGAAGAGAAGCAAGGCACGGUCGUGAAGCUAGUAGCGAUCAAGAAGUGAUCCUGAAACUACUUACGUCAAACAUAACUCCAACACCGUGUUCACUUCCCGGACUCCGCCGAGAAGAGACCAUCACGGUUACACACGCGGUUGAUGCGUUUUAAUUCGGAUCUUGUGUCAAGUUGUCUACAACCGGACAUUAACAAAUUCCCAUCUGCCACAUAAUCGCGGGCAUGGCUCUCGAAAGUUUAUACCCUGCAGGGGUGUCCCAACUUAGCCCAUGACAAGCUCUCGCGAUCAACGAAGGAAUAGACCUUCUCCCAGGAAGACCCGAUCAGUCUCGGAAUCCCGGUUUACAAGACAUUUCGACAAUGGUAAAACAAGACCAGCAAAGCCGCCCGAUGUGCCAACAAAUCCCGAUAGGAGCUGCACAUAUCUCGUUCUCACGGCACACCGGAUGAGCAAGACGACGGGUUGGCAUAGACCCUGGUUGCCCAGGGGGCGCCGGACAUCGCUCGGUUUGGACCAGCACCCGGAGGAGCACUGGCCCGGGGGGGGGGGGNNNNNNNNNNNNNNNNNNNNNNNNNNNNNNNNNNNNNNNNNNNNNNNNNNNNNNNNNNNNNNNNNNNNNNNNNNNNNNNNNNNNNNNNNNNNNNNNNNNNNNNNNNNNNNNNNNNNNNNNNNNNNNNNNNNNNNNNNNNNNNNNNNNNNNNNNNNNNNNNNNNNNNNNNNNNNNNNNNNNNNNNNNNNNNNNNNNNNNNNNNNNNNNNNNNNNNNNNNNNNNNNNNNNNNNNNCCAAGGGAAAAAGGCUUAGGUAGGCAAAUGGUAAAACCAAGGUUGGGCCUUGCUGGAGGAGUUUUAUUCAAAGCGAACUGUCAAGGGGGUCCCAUAAAUCACCCGACCGCGUAAGGAACGCAAAAUCCGGGAACAUAACACCGGUAUGACGGAAACUAGGGCGGCAAGAGUGGAACAAAACAGCAGGCAUAAGGCCGAGCCUUCCACCCUUUACCAAGUAUAUAGGUGCAUUAAUUAAAUAAGAGAUAUUGUGAUAUCCCAACAAGUAAACAUGUUCCAACAAGGAACAACAUCUCCAUGUUCCAACAAGGAACAAACUUCAAUCUUCACCUGCAACUAACAACGCUAUAAGAGGGGCUGAGCAAAGCGGUAACAUAGCCAAUCAACGGUUUGCUAGGAUAUGGUGGGUUAGAGGUUUGACAUGGCAAUUUGGGAGGCUGACAAGCAAAUGGUAGGCAUCGUAGCAUUGGCAUAGCAAAAGAGCGAGCAAACUAGCAUAGCAAAGAUAGUAGUGAUUUCGAGGGUAUGAUCAUCUUGCCUGAGAUCCCGCAAGGAAGAAGAACGAGUCCAUGAAGAAGACAAACCGACGAAGUCGAAUGGAUCCUCACAACUCCGGAACGAAAACGAAGCUAACGAGAGAAGCAACCCGGAAAGAAACAAACAACAUAGUAAACAACCAUCACAUAAACAUGGCAUGAAGCACAAUCAAGUAUGAUGCAUGUCCAGUUUAAUUAGGCAUGGCAUGGCAAAGUGCAACAAACAAUACUACAAGUUAAGUGGAGCUCAAUAUGCAACGAGUUGCAUAUUGACAAAACACCACAUCAAUUAUUUAGUUCUCUCUCGGUUAUGCUACUCAUCAAUAUUAAAUGUUGUUAAACAUGGCAAAGGGUGAAGCACAAUUAAGCUAUCUAUCUAGGCAAGUUUAAACGAGGCCGGAACAACAAACAACAAUUCUGGAAAAUCCCCAUAUGUCAUUUAGCAAUUAAAGCAAACAACAAUUUUAAACAUUUUAAUUGUUAUUAUCAUGAUGCAGAUGACAUAUGCAAUUUUUAUGAAAAAGUUGACAUAAGCAUGUUAUGAAGCAUUUAUCACCGUGGUGGAACAAAAAGGGUGCCACGGCGGCGAAUCCGAAAAUGAUGCCACGACAACAUAUUGGUUCCGGUAGCUCAUGGAGAUAUCGGUGCAAAAGGAGGCGUGCGGAUGUGCGCAACAAGCUAGAGAUGGUGGGGUGAUCCCGGUUACCGGGUUCCCACGUGACAGUGGCAUGGCAAAAGAGGGACAUGCACGAAACAAACGGGCACGGUGCAAACAAGGACAUCUCAUUCAACACAGGCAUUCGGCGGUCGUCUCGGCUGUUAUACCUUCGAAGCGUGCAUUUUCGGGGCGAAACGAGUUCGAUGCGGUGAAGAGGAAGUAGACGUUCUCACGACGGUAGUGGAAGUAGACGUUCACGGGUCGUCGGGGGAAGUAGUGGUACACGUUCGUUUUCGGAGAGGUACUUGACGAAUCCAACAUCUUCGGGGCGACGGUAGUGGUUCACGGACGUCGUGGAAGUAAUCGUUCUCGUUUCGUAGUCGUACAUGUUGGCGGUAGUGGAAGUAGUGGUACACGGCGACGGUAGUUGUACACACGUUGUAGUCGAACUUGACGGAACCAAAUGUCCUCGAGGGUAGUCGUGGUACAUGGCGAUUUCGGAGACGGCAGCAGAGGUACUCGCAAAAACCGAGAUGGUCUUGAUGAUCCGGUGAGACGACGUGGUCCAGUGCGGUCUUGGUCUUGGCGUCCGUGCGGUAGCCGUGAGCUCAUGGCCUACAACAGCAGCAAGGCGCGGAACGGGACGGAGAUGCCGGGCGCUGAUGGUGGUGGAGCAGGGGCUUCACGCGAACAGGGCCGCAGCGAAGCUGAUGGCCUCGCAGGCCAUGGCAGGCGGUGGGCACGGUAGGAGGGCGAGCGGUCGGCGCGAGGAGAUGGAGAGGCGCGGGACGAGGACGAGGCAGGAGGUCGCGCGAGGUGGAGGAGGACGCGGCAGGUGAGGGAGGAGGCGGUGGAGGCCGGCUCCGAGGCGGACGGGCGCGGCUCUGGUUGGUGGGUGGAGGGACUUGGCCGGCGGCGCGGCUUGGGUGCAGCUCCGGCGAGGGGCUUGAGGCCGCGGGGAAGGAGCCGCGCAAAGAGGCGGUGCUCGGUGGCGGGGCCGACGUCGAGGCGGCUGGCCGCGCGAGAAGACGAGACCGAGCGCUCCUGAUCGGGCCUCGGGAAGAGAGGGGGUGGCGGCUGUGCGGGUGGCGGGGCGGCGAUGCAAUAGGGCGGCAGCUCGGGAGAAGACGAGAGGGAGAGGAUGAGGGGAUCGGGAGGAGUUGGGGACGGGCGCUGGGGCUCUCCUCUCCUGGCGGCGCUCGAACGGGAGACGAGGGAGAGAUCAGGGGAGAUGGGGAUCGCUCGGGCUAGGGUUAGGAGGGACUGGUGGGGGCGGCUGGGCCUUAGAGGCCGGCGGCUGGGCUCUCCUCUCUCUCUCUCUUUCUCUCAAAAGAAAAGAAACAAAAUAGAGAUAAGAAAUAAAAGAAAGAGAGGUUAGGGGAAGAAGUUGGACACGCCGAUAAUUUUCCCGGGCUCACAAAAAUGAGCUGGAACCAGGAAAAUAGAAGUGGGCAUGACCGAAAGAUUUAAAUUCAAACUCAUUUGAAUUUAAUUCAAAUGGGUUUGAACUAUGACUUGAUAAAAGGAAGGUCCAAAAAUGUUUAGAUUUUUGGUGGAGCUCCGGAAAAUGAUGAAAGAAUUUAUGGGUAGAGUUGGAGACCAAGAAUUGAGAUAACAAAGGCAUUGGGAUUUAAUUGCAAGUGGGUUAUGGUUAAUUCCAAAAAAUGGAAUAAUUUUAUUAUAGCUCCCUAAUAUUGGAGGAUGUGUUAUAAAGAGAAAUCACCAUGUGAAUAUCCCUCGAUUUAAAUAGAUCAACGAUUUAUGCAAUUUAUUUAGUUGAGGUUUUAAAAAUUAAUGAUAUGAUGGCAUGAUGCAAUGCAAAUGAUGCAACAAACAAAACAAAUCACACGACGAAACUCGGAAUAGCUGGAAGUCUUCUGGAGCAUCGAGCUCGGGGCGUUACAACACUCCACCACUACAAGAGGAUCUCGUCCCGAGAUCUAGGAUGGCACCGGAGAGAAACGGAAGAGGAAGAGAAGAGGUAAAACUAAGUUGCUUCUUCGACAAAAGAGUGAAACCAAAGAAUCUUGAGAGGUUGAAAAUUUGAAAGAAAGAACACAACGGAGUUGAACACAAUUGAGAGCACUGUAGUAGAAAAUAGAAACAAGGAACACCAUGUGAACCUUGGCGGUUGCAAAGCUAAGAAUGACGAUUGCAAUGGACAAGAAGGAAUUGAAACCACUCUGGUUGAAAUGAGAUAAACAAGGAACAAGGAAGAACAAAUUCGGACAGCACUCUGGUUGAAAAGAGAUGCAAGACUUGAUAAGAUGAAAAGAACUUGAAUGAGAACACAACACUCUGGUUAAAUGGAUAAGCAAGAAAAUAACAUGACCUUGACAAAAUGAGGUGAUGGGUGAAGAGCACAACAUCACAACGCCUCCGGAAGAAAUGAAAGAAUGGAAUGGAAUGAACGGAGGAAAACUUGAUCUUGAAAGAGCACGCUUACAGGAAAUGCUACAAUGGAGUUGUUGGAUUAUCAACAACGAAAGGAUAAGCUUGUUGUGGACUUAUGGAAAACAUCUCAAGACUAUGAGGUGACAACCGGCCACUAACGGAAACAAUUGCUUGCUUGAGAUUAAUGAAGAGAUGAAAGCUUGUUCCAUCAAGAUGGAAAAGAGAUAACUUGGGUCAUUAAUAAGCACCAAAAUAGCAACAUUCCUUAGGGAAGGCUUUAGGUGAAAUCUAUACCAAGAUAACUCAAGUGAAGAGAUUGACGGUUUUAAAAAUAACUCAUUCUUAACAACAUGUGAAUCAUGGAACAUGAACUCAAAUUAUCAAGAAUGACAUAAUACCACCUCCAAAAUAUGGUAGAAAGAAUUGCACUCCGGAUUACCAUAUGAAGAAAGCUUGAGCUCCUUAGGAAAGAAUCUUGAUGAAAACUUUGAGAAGGGAAUUAAAUCCUUGAUGAACCAUCAUGUAGAACCUCCAUGAAGAACUUCGGUAAACAAAAGGAAUGAAACGAAAGAGAAAUUGAAAACACAAGGUGAAUCCUUGCAAUGAUUUAGAUGGAUCUCCGUGAUAAUUAGAGCUUGGAACUCCGGGAAAAACAUAAGAUGAAACAAAUGAAACCAAGAAUUUUAAGGGCCUCCGGAAUAAAGAAUUAAUCACUUGGAUGAACAAGAAUAAGAAUUAUGUUAUGCUUAUCCUUCACCAAUUAAAUUGAUGACAAUCAACAGAUUUGGCAUACUACUUAUUCUCGUAGAAAGGAUUAAAAGAGAUAUAUCAAAACUUGAGAAGGUCUUCAACGAACCACCGGUAGGAUUUGGAAAGAACGAAUGAAUUGAUAUGAUAACAAAGAAAGAGAACUCUUGAACGAACCACCGUAAGAAUUGAAAUUGAACGUAGCAAAUGCACAAAUCACCGGGAAGAAUUGCAAAAUGAAUGAAGAUACUUUAGGGUAAUUAGAUACAAAUGAAUGAAUAGAUCACGAGCUGAUUAGAGAAUACUUGAAUGAUGCACCGGUAUGAUUUGGAUAACGAGAGCUGAAAGCUUGAAUGAAUAAUACUGAGAUGAUGGGCUUCAAAGAAUGGAACUGAAAGGACUCCUAAAAUGCUCCGAAUGGGUGAAAAAGAUUCUCACAAUCGAAAACAAUUAUGAGAGGAUGGCAACAAGCUAGCACCAUGAAUCUUGAAGAGAAUAGAGCAAGAUUAAAGAGAAACUCUUCUUCGGUCUUCAAAUGAUGAGAAUUACAAUGAGAAACACCACCAAGAAUUAUUGAGGCACACCGGAAGAAUCAAAAGCGAAGAGGUUGAGCCAACUAUGAAAAGAAUUUGAAAGAUCUUGGAGAAAAGCAUUUGACUGAUGAUAACUCAUUCUUACGUCAAACUUGGAGAAGAAUUUAGGAUAGCUCUGGGAAAAUAGAAGAGUCAGGUAAGAUCCUGGGAAAAGACCUGUGGGUUAGGGCCCACUCAAAAGAACACCGUUGAAAAGAUUUAACAGAGAUGUUGCACCGGUUGAAUUAAAUGACUUGAAUGAGAUACCAAUCUCGAAAGAGCUUGAACGAAUGCAGAGUAGAAACACGAAUCUUCGAGAUAUCUUGAGUACUCCGGAAUAACAAAUAGCGAGAAGUAGAAUGAUAAUGAGGUGCACCGGUAUGAGAAGACAUUGAAAUGAGGAAAAAGGUAUGAUCAACAAAACUUGACUUGAAUCCACCGGAGAAGAGAAAGUAAUGAGGAAUGAUGAACUAGUAGAACAUCUUCUUGAGAACCACCGGGUAAGAACAUUGACAGAAAAGAAUGGAGAAACUUCACAAAAAUAAAAGGAUACUUGGUAAAGAAAUCUUAAUCCUUGAGGAAAAAGGGUGGGUGGGCGGGAGAAAACAAAGGCAACUUGGAGACGGAUGAAACAAACACCGUUGAGAAGAAAUGAUAAUUGGUCUUGCUGAGGUUGAAGUGAUCGGAUCCACUUGAAGAGAAACACGCCGGUUGAAAAGGAUUGACAUGACAAUCUUGAUUGUCGAGAAGGAUCGGUAUUCACAUCGGAGUAUGAGAACACCAUUUCGGAAAGGUAUGGAAUCAACACUUGACAUUGAAGCAACUCGAAUACCACAACUCAAAACAAAAACAAAGGACUGGCUUGCAGAAUAAGCCGGAACAAACAUAUGAUAGAGAUUUCGUCCGAAGUUUUCGUGGUGGUGCCUACACGGGCUCGAUCGUACAACACCAUCAUGUACAAGGCAGUGCACAUGACAUACGAAGCGUCCCCGAGUCGGCAUAGCCAAGGACUCUUUAAGACACAACGAGACCACUGUAAAACCAACCGUGAAUAGGCGGACCACUAGACGUCGAACCCCAAUUUCAUAUCAUACAUCCGUCGGAAAGAUAUCCUAAGAGCUACUUGAAUUCCCACCUAUGAAACUCCCGAAAUUUUUCCGGUUAUGCAAUCAGGUGUUGGGGAUACAGGGGAAGCAUAAUAUCUCACCCAAAACUAGCAAAUCCUACAUCCAGCUGUAUCCAUCCUUCAACACAUAACCAAGAAACCUUCGGAAAUCGUCUACCUCAACCUUCAAAAAGCAUCCGUUAUACGAGUUAUGGCAAUACUCCCGUACUCACCUCAGUACUGGGUUAUCGGGGUUAUCUCACCAACAACUGCAUAAAAGAGAUUUUCGAUGUCGGCGUACUAAACUCAGGUAUUCCAGAACUGUAACGAUAAAAUUAUGAUGACAACACCUCAGAGCUCAACUCCCCGGGACACUUCCACUAAACCCCUGACAGGAGGCACCAAGACAAUAUUCUCAUCAUAAAACCAUCGGAACGAUUCCAAGAUACCCGCGUGAUCCUAAAAAUUUUUUAGUGAAAUUUGAGAAGAGAAGAGUCAAAACUCUACAUCAGGAUGCCUUACCAGAGCGAUGAAGAGACUGGGGAGUAAAAAGAAUUCCUAACUCUCCGAUAUAUAUAAUCCUAAAUGACUCAAAACAUUUUUCUAGACACAACUCGGCCGCUAAAACGAUCAAGCAGUGGGGCUCCUAAGGUCGGGGAAGGCUCUGAUACCAACUUGUAACGCCCUCGAUGCGGCUAUAUCUCCCACGUGUCGAAGCACGACUUAGAGGCAUAACCGCAUUGAAAGCAAUGUCGCAAGGGAGGUAAUCUUCACACAACCCAUGUAAUACAUAAGGGAAGAGAUACAUAGUUGGCUUACAAUCGCCACUUCACACAAUUACAUGAGUAAAGCAUUACAUCAUCCAGAUACAAUCAAGGUCCGAUUACGGAACCAAAAUAAAAGAAGAACCCCAAAUGCGACAAAGGUCCCCGAUCGACCCCAACUGGGCUCCACUACUGAUCAACUAGAACGAAACAACACAAAGGGCAAGAUCUUCAUCGAGCUCCUCCUUGAGCUUGGUUGCAUCACCUGCUCGGUAACAUAGGCACCUGCAAACUGGUUUUGGAAGUAUCUGUGAGCCACGGGGACUCAGCAAUCUCGCACCCGCGAGAUCAAGAC
Molecule: long non-coding RNA, 8354 nt
Filed under: Triticum aestivum (bread wheat)
Lineage: Eukaryota; Viridiplantae; Streptophyta; Magnoliopsida; Poales; Poaceae
Description: long non-coding RNA (TAES_LNC027093)
Source: RNAcentral